AGAAAUGCAUAGCUGCAUAUCAUGCAAAUAUUUGACAGUUUGACACCAACAAAGACCAUCUGCAUGUUCAGAGUUUAGAUAAGCAGAAAAACAAAUGUAUCACAUAGCAAGCUAGCAUUGCAUGACAAUACUAACUAACCAGAUAUGCGUAAACAGGUGAAAUGUAUCAGACAGAAGGCUAUCAUAGCAAGACUGUACUAGUAAACAGGGGGAGAACACAUACCAUGCUUCUGGAUUCAGAUCAUCAACAUUCGUGUACCACAAAGGGCCUUGUGUCUGGGGGAGCCAGCAUGGUGCAGAAGCCGCCGCUGCCUUUGGUGGCCGUGGAGGAAUCGAGGCACCUGGUCCGGGCUGGCGUGGUGGCGGGACGAGGUGUGGCGCCGACGGCGGCGGGACGAGGUGUGGCGCCGACGGCGGGACGAGAUGCGGCAUCAACGGCGGAAGGAAUUGAGGCAGCGACGGCGGGACGACCUGAGGUGUCGGCGCACGCGUCCUUUUGGACUGCUGACCCAUCUCCUUGAUGCGGCGCCGGCGGAUGUUCUAGGGUUUGGGGUGGUGGCGAUUUGGGGGAAGCUGGAGGCUUUAAAGCUUAGAUUUGGCGCGCACCAAGCGAUUUGGAGCGAGGGAAAGAUGGAUUUCGCGCGCGGAGGUGGAAGGAGAAGCGCACGAGGCAAGGGAGACGCACGGGAUCGGAAGCGGCGGCACUAGCGCUCGCAUCGGGCUGCAAGC
RNAcentral lists this long non-coding RNA (729 nucleotides) under Triticum aestivum (bread wheat). RNAcentral describes it as "long non-coding RNA (TAES_LNC026201)". Lineage: Eukaryota; Viridiplantae; Streptophyta; Magnoliopsida; Poales; Poaceae. The record is from RNAcentral.